AUUGAUAGAGCCUGUGGAAAACACUUUACGACUGUGUAACUGUCUACAUCUUUACAGAGGAAUAGUCUACAAAGGAAGACUUGUAACCUGGAGAAGAGACCUGUCAUUUACUCCAUCCUUUAUAGUGAUGCUACAGGACGAAGAGGAAUGGAUAAAAACAUUGGCGAGCAACUCAAUAAAGCAUAUGAAGCCUUCCGGCAGGCAUGCAUGGAUAGAGAUUCUGCAGUAAAAGAAUUACAGCAAAAGGUGUGUGGUUCUGGUUUUGAAAGUUAUUCUUUAUCUUGGUACAUGGAAUUUUAGAGCCUUUUGCAUCUGAAAAAUGUUAUAUUGUUAGAAAUUGCCCUGAAGAACUAUAAUUACAGAAAUGCAGGUAUAUAUUAAUGGAUGAAAUUUGAAGUUCUUGUUUGUUGUUUAAAAAAUAUUGCAACCCAUAGGAAGAGUUGAUUUGAUGGGCUCCUUUUCAGGUGAUUGUGAAAGAUUGUGAAUGUUGUCUUCCAUAAAUAAUUUUAAAAUAUCAGUAUUUAUAAAUAAGGAAGAAAUAACUAUAAAAACAGUUUUAUGACACA
Molecule: small RNA, 566 nt
Filed under: Pongo abelii (Sumatran orangutan)
Lineage: Eukaryota; Metazoa; Chordata; Mammalia; Primates; Hominidae
Description: processed transcript
Source: RNAcentral